AUGCUCCUGUGGCUUGGAGCUGGGGGUGCACCCCAGGGAGGAUGCCCGGAACCCUGCGGUUGUGACUGCACACUGUGCCCCUGCCCAGAGGCAGCCUGGAGGCAAUGCAUGCUCUCAGCAAAAGGAACAAAGGACCACCACCUGCAGAGCACCUGGUCCUGGAGAGCACCUUUCCUGCAGAAGGCCUGGAGAUGUCAGGAAUGUCACUGGCAUGGAACAGGUGGAAAAAAGUGCUGCAGGUUGCCAGUGUCCUGCUGCCAAGGCUGGGGUGCACCUGGACACCGCCAGCAUUGCCCACGUGGAAGCGACAUCCAUGCCAAGAGCGAUGGCCAGCACCCAGGCUCACUGACCGCGGAGGUACACUGGUGCUGA
Molecule: long non-coding RNA, 372 nt
Filed under: Anser brachyrhynchus (Pink-footed goose)
Lineage: Eukaryota; Metazoa; Chordata; Aves; Anseriformes; Anatidae
Description: lncRNA (ENSABRG00000018892.1)
Source: RNAcentral